Molecule: ribosomal RNA, 959 nt
Filed under: uncultured beta proteobacterium
Lineage: Bacteria; Pseudomonadati; Pseudomonadota; Betaproteobacteria
Description: bacterial SSU rRNA
Rfam family: Bacterial small subunit ribosomal RNA
Source: RNAcentral
AGAGUUUGAUCCUGGCUCAGAUUGAACGCUGAGGCUUAACACAUGCAAGUCGAACGGCAGCACGGGUGCUUGCACCUGGUGGCGAGUGGCGAACGGGUGAGUAAUAUAUCGGAACGUACCUUAUUGUGGGGGAUAACGCAGCGAAAGCUGUGCUAAUACCGCAUAAUCCCUAAGGGGGAAAGCGGGGGACCGUAAGGCCUCGCGCAAUUAGAGCGGCCGAUACCUGAUUAGCUAGUUGGUGAGGUAAAGGCUCACCAAGGCAACGAUCAGUAGCUGGUCUGAGAGGACGAUCAGCCACACUGGGACUGAGACACGGCCCAGACUCCUACGGGAGGCAGCAGUGGGGAAUUUUGGACAAUGGGGGCAACCCUGAUCCAGCAGUGCCGCGUGAGUGAAGAAGGCCUUCGGGUUGUAAAGCUCUUUUGUCAGGGAAGAAACAGCAGCUCUAACACAGUUUGCUAAUGACGGUACCUGAAGAAUAAGCACCGGCUAACUACGUGCCAGCAGCCGCGGUAAUACGUAGGGUGCAAGCGUUAAUCGGAAUUACUGGGCGUAAAGCGUGCGCAGGCGGUUAUGUAAGACAGGCGUGAAAUCCCCGGGCUUAACCUGGGAAUUGCGCUUGUGACUGCAUAGCUAGAGUAUGUCAGAGGGGGGUAGAAUUCCACGUGUAGCAGUGAAAUGCGUAGAGAUGUGGAGGAAUACCAAUGGCGAAGGCAGCCCCCUGGGAUAAUACUGACGCUCAUGCACGAAAGCGUGGGGGAGCAAACAGGAUUAGAUACCCUGGUAGUCCACGCCCUAAACGAUGCUGACUAGUUGUUCGGGAAUUUAUUCCUGAGUAACGUAGCUAACGCGUGAAGUCAGCCGCCUGGGGAGUACGGUCGCAAGAUUAAAACUCAAAGGAAUUGACGGGGACCCGCACAAGCGGUGGAUGAUGUGGAUUAAUUCGAUGCACGCGAAAA